Molecule: RNA transcript, 1561 nt
Organism: Otolemur garnettii (small-eared galago)
Lineage: Eukaryota; Metazoa; Chordata; Mammalia; Primates; Galagidae
Gene name: adenine DNA glycosylase-like
Exons: 13
Source: RefSeq, a predicted model, not a curated record
AUGGGAAAAGUGGGAACACACUGCUAUAGCUGCUGUGUGCUGGGUCCUUGGUGUAUAGGCUGUGCAGGGACAAUUCCUGACUGUCCUGAGGUCUCAGCAAAUCUGGCCAGGCAGCCGGAAGAGGUGGUACUGCAGGCCUCCAUCUGCUCAUACCAUCUGUUCAGAGACACAGCUGAAGUCACAGCCUUCCAGAGAAACCUGCUGAGCUGGUAUGACCAAGAGAAGUGGGACCUACCCUGGAGAAGACAGGCGGAGCAUGAAGUGGACCUAGACAAGCGUGCGUAUGUUGUGUGGACCUCAGAGGAUAUGUUGCAGCAGACCCAGGUUGCCACGGUGAUCAACUACUAUACCCGAUGGAUGCAGGUGACUCCAACACUACAGGACCUGGGCAGUGCUUCUGUGGAGGAGGUAAACCAGCUCUGGGCUGGCCUGGGCUACUAUUCUCGAGGCUGGUGACUGCAGGAGGGGGCUUGGAAGGUAGUAGAAGAGCUAGGGGGUCACAUGCCACGUACAGCAGAGGCUCUGAAGCAGCUCCUGCCCGGUGUGGGGCGGUACACAGCUGGGGCCAUUGCUUCCAUUGCCUUUGGCCAGGUGAGCAGCAGUGUGGUGGACGGGAAUGUAGUACAGGUGCUGUACUGUGUUUGAACCAUUGGUGCUGAUCUCAGCAGCACUACUAUUGUCUCCCAGCAGCUCUGGUUGAGCCAGAGCAGCUCUGUCUCACAGCGUCUGCUGGGCAGUCUUGACAUAGAGGAGUGUGCUCCUAACACUGGCCAAUGCCAACUGUGCCCACCUCCCACAGAACAGCCCACGGUCCUUGGGGUCCCCAAAUUCUGCUGGUACAGCAGCCCAAGUCAGAUACUGGAGAGCAGAGGCGUGUGCAGCAAGAGAGGGUUGAAGGAGUAAGCAGCUAAGUAAGGCCUCACUGCUACCUGGCUGCCCUCUCUCUCUGGUCUGCUGGCAGGACUGUGGGAGUUCCCAUCUGUGACCUUGAAGCCCUUAGAGAAGCAUCAGUACAAGGCCCUGCUGCAGGAACUGCAGAAUUGGGCCGGGCCCCUCCCAGAGGGCUGCCUUUAGCACUUGGGGAGGCCCUCCCUGCAGGUGGUCCACAUCUUCUCUCACAUUAAGCCUGACAUACCAAGAAUAUGGUCUGGCCAUGGAGGAACAAACCCCAGUGACCAGCACACCACCUGACACUUGCUGGUUGACAUGGGAGGAAUUUCACACAGUAGCUGUCCUCACUGCCAUAAAAAAGGUGUUUCAUGUGUAUGAGGGGCAGCAGCCAGGGACAUGCAAGGGUUCCAAAAGGUCCCAGGUGUCCACUCCAUCCAGCUGGAAAAAGACCAGCCGGGGCCAGCAAGUCCUGGAUAGCUUCUUUCGGCCCUAUAUCUCCAUUGAUGCACCCAUCCCCAACACUGCAGCUGAGGAAUGGGGAGAGCCCACUCCUGAAAAUCCUGCUGUUAAUAAAGUACUUAUUUUUAUAGUCAUUUUGGAAAGCUUUAUACCUCUCCCUAACCCCCUCACUUGUAGUGAAGUCCAGCUUGGUCCUGACUUCUACACCUGA